Molecule: ribosomal RNA, 462 nt
Filed under: Triticum aestivum (bread wheat)
Lineage: Eukaryota; Viridiplantae; Streptophyta; Magnoliopsida; Poales; Poaceae
Description: partial small subunit ribosomal RNA
Source: RNAcentral
AUGAUCCAGAAACACCUACUCGAUUUAUCUGCUGGUGCAGAACCAGCGAGGGCACCGACCACUCCGAUGACAAAGUGGGAACUCCCCAAGCGGAAGUUUGUCAAGGUAAACUUCGACGCUGCCUUCAAAAAGGAGUCCGACGAUGGCGCCUAUGGUUAUAUUCUGCGUUCGGACGACGGAGCCGCCAUAGCAGCUGGAGCUGGGAAACUGUCACGCAUCAAAAGUGCCCUUCAUGCGGAAGCGGAGGCAUGUCUGGCUGCAGUGGAGGGAGCUGCAAAUGCGGGCGUACACCGGGUGAUGUUGGAGUCUGAUUCCCUCACUUUGGUGCAAGCACUCAAUUCGACAUCAGUUGUUUUUAAGUACCUCUUUACUCUUCGCGGUUGCGCUUGCGUUUUCCAAACAGAUCUUUGCGAGCUUUGCACACAGACUGUUUCCCAGCUUGUUUGUUGUCCAACAGUGUAG